AUACGUGAACUUUUAGGUCGGUC
RNAcentral lists this non-coding RNA (23 nucleotides) under Arabidopsis thaliana (thale cress). Lineage: Eukaryota; Viridiplantae; Streptophyta; Magnoliopsida; Brassicales; Brassicaceae. The record is from RNAcentral.